CAAAGAAAAUGUUUAAAAAAAAAAAAGUUUGUUCUCAGACUCUCCUUUUCACUGGCUAUUGGUAACACACUUUAGCAUUUGGACAGGUUAUCAGUUCCAAGUGUGUCCAGAAAAAUCCAAACAUGUUUUUGACAAUGACUGAGGUCGGGUUGGCUCCAGUCUCUAUCAUAUCUUGGGGCUAGAAGGUUUUUAUGCCAUCUCACCUUGUUGAGUUGGUACAGAGCAGAUUUUCCCCGACUAAUAACUGAGGGUAAAAUCAGGUGAAAAAUCUUGUAAUGUGUUCCCAGCUUUAGUCCAUUUAAUCCACACGAAAUAGGUUUAAUUACAUUGCUACUUUAAACUUGCCCAUAUCCACAACUUGAGCAAAACUGUUUCAAAACAAGGGCAAUUAAGUUUAUUUUGCCACCAUACUCAAAGAGGGAAUUGGUAACAGGAGGCAAAAAAGUCUCCAAAGCUUUGGCUUAAAGCUUUUAAUACAUUUUUACCAGAAGCGUCCAUAAAUUUGUG
Long non-coding RNA from Poecilia latipinna (sailfin molly), 507 nucleotides. RefSeq lists it as uncharacterized. The record is from RefSeq and is a predicted model, not a curated record. Lineage: Eukaryota; Metazoa; Chordata; Actinopteri; Cyprinodontiformes; Poeciliidae. The transcript is spliced from 3 exons.